This 693-nucleotide long non-coding RNA is filed under the name Anas platyrhynchos platyrhynchos (common mallard). Its description in RNAcentral is "lncRNA (ENSAPLG00000030267.1)". Lineage: Eukaryota; Metazoa; Chordata; Aves; Anseriformes; Anatidae. The record is from RNAcentral.
GCUUGCAAUACAUGAUGUGAUCACCUGGGAUGUAUUAGAGAGCUCAAAAAGUAUUUGAGGUGAAUUCUAGCCUGCCUGACUUCUCUUAGGGAGAAGCUAAAUAGAUAUAUCCCAGCUUUCAGAUAUUUAAGCUACUCUGCUUCAUGGAGAUUACUUAAAUCAAAUAAUUAAUUGUUAAGAGAAAAGCUACUUUCCUUACUAAUCAAACUUCAUCCUAAAGAUGCAUCUUAAUGAAUGGGCUAAGUCAACUCGUUGUUCUAGUUACCAGUCAUGGAAUAUUCUUUCUGCUGUGAUACACAUAGAAAGAAGGUUCAUGUUGGACUGUUCUGUAAAAUCUUUCCAUGAAAUGCUAGAACUUUAGUGUUUGCUCCAGGAAAAGAAUGUGCUAAGCAUGAUGUUCAGUCAAAAAAACGUGCAUUUUAUUCUGAGGUGAAAUGGCAGGGAGGAGGUAAGAAGGAUUUUUAUUUUUUGUUCCAGAACCCAUGCUCUCUGUGGGGGUGGCUCAGAUGACACUGAAUUAACUUGGAGACUUAAAUGUGAAAAGUAUUUAAAUAAUUUUCAUUGAUGGCAACUAAUCAAAUUAGCUUUAAGAAAUGGACUUCUCUGAACGGCCCUUUGACUUAUUUUUCAAAGACAUCCAUAUCCAGCUAUCCAUUCUACAAUAAUUCUGUAACUUACAUGUACAUAGUGCCC